Molecule: ribosomal RNA, 450 nt
Filed under: uncultured bacterium
Lineage: Bacteria
Description: partial 16S ribosomal RNA
Rfam family: Bacterial small subunit ribosomal RNA
Source: RNAcentral
CCUACGGGUGGCAGCAGUGGGGAAUAUUGCGCAAUGGGCGAAAGCCUGACGCAGCGACGCCGCGUGGGUGAUGAAGGCCUUCGGGUUGUAAAGCCCUGUCGGGUGGAACGAACGAUCUGGCGGCGAAUAACCGCCGGGUGUGACGGUACCACCGAAGGAAGCCCCGGCUAACUACGUGCCAGCAGCCGCGGUAAGACGUAGGGGGCGAGCGUUGUUCGGAUUUACUGGGCGUAAUGCGCGCGUAGGCGGCGCACAACCUCGGCUUACACGAGACCCCGCAUCCGAUACUGUCUGGCAAGAGUCUAGGAGAGGAAAGCGGAAUUCCCAGUGUAGCGGUGAAAUGCGUAGAUAUUGGGAGGAACACCGGUGGCGAAGGCGGCUUUCCGGACUAGUACUGACGCUGAGGCGCGAAAGCUAGGGGAGCGAACGGGAUUAGAUACCCUGGUAGUA